RNAcentral lists this ribosomal RNA (497 nucleotides) under uncultured bacterium. RNAcentral describes it as "partial 16S ribosomal RNA". It matches the Rfam family "Bacterial small subunit ribosomal RNA", at positions 28 to 507 of the family's 1533-position model. The record is from RNAcentral.
GAUGAACGCUGGCGGCGUGCCUAAUACAUGCCAGUCGAGCGAACAGACGAGGAGCUUGCUCCUCUGACGUUAGCGGCGGACGGGUGAGUAACACGUGGAUAACCUACCUAUAAGACUGGGAUAACUUCGGGAAACCGGAGCUAAUACCGGAUAAUCUAUUGAACCGCAUGGUUCAAUAGUGAAAGACGGUUUUGCUGUCACUUAUAGAUGGUUCCGCGCCGCAUUAGCUAGUUGGUAAGGUAACGGCUUACCAAGGCGACGAUGCGUAGCCGACCUGAGAGGGUGAUCGGCCACACUGGAACUGAGACACGGUCCAGACUCCUACGGGAGGCAGCAGUAGGGAAUCUUCCGCAAUGGGCGAAAGCCUGACGGAGCAACGCCGCGUGAGUGAUGAAGGUCUUCGGAUCGUAAAACUCUGUUAUUAGGGAAGAACAAAUGUGUAAGUAACUAUGCACGUCUUGACGGUACCUAAUCAGAAAGCCACGGCUAACUACGUG